RNAcentral lists this ribosomal RNA (494 nucleotides) under uncultured bacterium. RNAcentral describes it as "partial 16S ribosomal RNA". It matches the Rfam family "Bacterial small subunit ribosomal RNA", at positions 28 to 507 of the family's 1533-position model. The record is from RNAcentral.
GACGAACGCUGGCGGCGUGCUUAACACAUGCAAGUCGAACGGUGAAGCGCCUUCCUUUUUGGUGGGUGUGGAUGAGUGGCGAACGGGUGAGUAACACGUGAGUAACCUGCCCCCUUCUUCUGGAUAACCGCAUGAAAGUGUGGCUAAUACGGGAUAUUCUGGGUCUGUCGCAUGAUGGGUCUGGGACAGCUAUUGUUUCGGUGGGGGAUGGGCUCGCGGCCUAUCAGCUUGUUGGUGGGGUGAUGGCCUACCAAGGCGGUGACGGGUAGCCGGCCUGAGAGGGUGGACGGCCACACAGGGACUGAGACACGGCCCAGACUCCUACGGGAGGCAGAAGUGGGGAAUAUUGCACAAUGGGCGCAAGCCUGAUGCAGCGACGCCGCGUGAGGGAUGGAGGCCUUCGGGUUGUGAACCUCUUUCGCCAGUGAAGCAGGCCUGCCUGGUUUGUGGGUGGGUUGACGGUAGCUGGAGAAGAAGCGCCGGCUAACUACGUG